UGUAGAGGUUAAAGAGCAGGAAGAUGAGAAAGAGGAGGAUGUCGUUUUUGGUGUGAAAGAAGAGGUUGGAGAUCCGUUUAACACCAGUAAGUACCGUCUCUGCAGUCGUUGAACCAAUAUGUAGUAAAGGGGUUCUACACUUUAAUGUUGUUCUGUAGGAAUGGCUGGAGCUACACUGUAACGUGUAGAACAUCAAGAGUGGACCAUCAACAAAACGUUAACAAUUGAUCAAAUGCAUCCAAUGACAAUGCCUGAAAUAAUGUAGUCCUCAAUAUCUCCUAUUAGAUUAGCCCAAUAUGCAGUCUUAAAGGGGCAAUCAGCAGUUGUUACAUCCAUUUUGGGACUUAUACAUUAAUGAUAUGUACCCAUUGUUUCUUGAAGAAUUCACUUAUAAAUGCCUCAUGAGCUUAGUUCAACUGUUGUACCCCAUCAGAACCCAAAAUAUGAGCUUUUUUUUACUCCAGUGUAUGUCAGUAAAUAUAAACAAACACUGUAUAUCCUCAAAACAUGGUUAAAACUAUAAUGUUGGUAUCAUGGAUGGUUGCAUUUCUCCAGCCCCAUCCCUCAGCUUUUUACCAAAACGGGCAGGGAGUACGCUUUGUUAUUGUUUCUAUUGCUGCCCCCGUUAAUCCUCAAAAUAAUUUCACAGUAUACUUUCAUAUCACAUCAAAAUAAUUUAAAAUACUUUAACAUCAAAAUAAUUUCACACAAUACUUUCAUAUCACAUCAAAAUAGGUAACCAGUCUGUAUAGAUAGAUAGCUAAGUGAAUUAAAUAUCACCAGCUACCUAACUUCAUAUUAGCUAUCUUGAUGUAUUUAUCACUGUAAAAAACUAACUCCAAAUGCAUUUGUAGGUAGCUAGCUACCAGCCAUGGAGGAGGGUGAAAGGAUAGCAGCCCCAACUGUCAGUGAGAGAGGAGGCUAUUCUGGAUAAGUGAGGACGGAGAUAAUAGUAACAUAAUAUUCAGUGUGGUGUAAUUUGACUAUAAUGAAGUGUGUUUCUUGUGAGGUUUUCUGUCCUCAGAUAAAGAGCUCUAUGAAAGCCAGUCUACAUAUGAAGAGGUCCCAAUGAAGAGCAGUGGUUCUCAGUCCUGGGGACUCAAAGAGGCACAUUGUUGUUUUUGCCUCAGCACUGCACAGCUGAUUCAAAUGAUCAACUCAUUAUCAAGCUUCAAGUGAUACCUUGUAACUGGAGAUUCCUUCAAAACGAUUGCCUACAGUUACCGUGUAGGGCACUGCAAGGUUGGGUGACCAGGGUCAUCUGGGACUGCCUCCUGGAGGAAUUCAGAUGUGUGAAGGCUACCUGUGUCCUGCGUAACUUCAUGAGGAUGGACACGCGGACCAGGAGGGGAUCUGCAGAUCGCCGCCGUGUCCCAGAGGAGGAGUCUGCUGCUCUGCAGGAUGUUUCAAGGAUGGGGUCCAACAACGCAGCAAGAGAGGCAAUCCGUGUGCAGGAGAUCUUCACCUCCUACUUCUUCAAAGAGGGUGCUGUUCCCUGGCAACACCAUAGACUACACUAUGCACAACCAAAGGCUCUUUUAAGAGCCAUUCACAUUGCAAUAAGAGUAUUCUUCCAUUUACUUAGCUAUGUCAACUGCAGUUAUUCAAUUCCUAGUGUCUCUCCCUUUGAUUUCUACUUCUCAGAUGAGGGUGCUGUUUAGGUAAGGGUGUGAUGUCUGUGCAAAAAACAAAACAGGCUAUUUUAAAUCACCCAUAUUGAAAAAAUGUAGAGCAAUUAGACACCCUAUAACCCACACCUACACACUCAUGUAUCAAUCUGAUUGAUGGAUUGUGUUGUGCAGUAAGCAGGCUCAGGUGUAUAACUGUGGCUCCUUCCACCUUCAAAGAAUAGGCAAGAGGGCCAACCAUGGAGAAUAGUAAGACACUUCAUUAUUUCUAUAACUACGCUAUAUUGUUUGUCCUUGUGUGUCCGUUCAUGUUUUUCAGCAUAAAGUACUCAGCAGCCAAUAAGUGUGGUGUGGACACCAGUCCUCUAGGUUAUAUCAGCUGUGUCGGUGAACCCCUCCUGCAUCUGAACUGGCUACAUAGAGGGCACAGCAUGAUCAGAGGUGAAAGGUCACUUGGUCAGGUCAACAGGAAGUAUUAUUCAAGUUAUGCUUUACAUUGAAAUACAGAUAGAUGCAGUAGUCCCAGAAUUAAUGAUCCCAGGUCAGUUUAUAUUAUACAGGAAGUAUUAAAGAGAUGCUUUACAUUGAAAUACAGAUAGAUGCAGUAGUCCCAGAGUUAAUGAUCCCAGGUCAGUUUAUAUUAUACAGGAGGUAUUAUUAAAGAGGUGCUUUCAGGUCAGUUUUGCAUUUCACCUCCUGAUUGAUGACUAACAAUGUUAGAAUAAAAACUAAAAACACAAGGCUUAAACAUGCUCUCUCUCUCUCCAUCUGUCUCUCGUCUGCAGAUAUGUUUUAAUGUGAGAGGAUGCCAACCCCCAGUCCCAUCAUCGCCACCUCACCUGCUUUUAAGAUAACCUUUGGGCCGACUAGAGACACUGCUAUGUAGUUGUGAUGAACUGAGAGAAUAUUUAUGUAGCACUGUGAUUCAUUAAUCAUGUGCUGCCUUCCCUGCUCCUAUGUGCUUACCUCUUUCCCUUUGUCUUUUACACCUCUCUCUCCACCUCCUCUUUCUUCCUCUGGUUUUAUAAUUCACAACAGAUGUGCAUUGAAGUACAGAUUGAACUUGUAUUUAUAACACUUGGACAAUGAGCUUUUCAAUAAAGCGUUUCACAUUCUC
Molecule: long non-coding RNA, 2745 nt
Organism: Salvelinus fontinalis (brook trout)
Lineage: Eukaryota; Metazoa; Chordata; Actinopteri; Salmoniformes; Salmonidae
Exons: 3
Source: RefSeq, a predicted model, not a curated record